Molecule: non-coding RNA, 4247 nt
Organism: Meleagris gallopavo (turkey)
Lineage: Eukaryota; Metazoa; Chordata; Aves; Galliformes; Phasianidae
Source: RefSeq, a predicted model, not a curated record
GAAGUGGAUUGUGCUGGGAGAGCUGGAGAGUAGAGCCUGAAUGCUGUGUGAUGAAAAGGAGCUGAGGAACGGAGACUGGAUGGAAUAGAGAAAUGAAGAGCAUCCAUACUGAACAGCAGGAGCACUGCUGGGCUACUGAGCAAUCCCUGACAUCAAAAUGGUUGGCCAAAGUGAUUAUAAAAGUGGAGGAGGGAAAGACUUCCCUGUUUUCUAGGAGAGGCAGGAGCGAAAGGAAACUUGCUUAUUAUGGUGGCACAUGUGAAUGUAUGAAGAAUUGCACAUGCAAUGGUGAAAGUAUAUCCCCGCUUGAAGAUUUGGAGAGCGUCUCAAGAAGUAGAAGGUUGUGCUUACAUUUGCUGUACUUGCAAGUGGGCUUGCUUAAAUGAAUGUCUAUCAUCUGCAAACAGCUUAGAGCCCAGUGCUUCAAAGGAAGACCAAAAAAAACCCACUUCCUGCAGACAUCUACGCAGUGCUAUACUUAGGAGACAGCUUUUUCUUCAUCCUGGAACUCCUUCAACUCACCUGCUAUUUGUAAGCCUGCAGAUGGAAUGGCAUGAAGCAUCAUAUCUCCUGCUGAAGCUAAUGCUAGUCUUUCCUAUAAUUUUUUUCUUUUUUAAAGUUCACCAGACUUGCCAACUGCCUUGUUGUUUUAACUGAUUGUAACAUUACCCCAUUUCUUGUAAUAGCAACUGCAUUUUGCCCACACCCUAUCUACUCUGUGGACACCCAAAUAUUCAUUCAGGAAAGCUCUGGUUAAUCUGGGGUUGGUUGUCAUAGCUUCCUGGCCACCAAUGCCACUGUCCCUUUAUAUCAGCUGAGGGCCUGGCCUUGGCAUACAGGGCUGUCAGCAAUUACUCCUGUAAUGAUUACUCAAAGUUACCGUCAGACUGUGCACUCCUGCUCUGGGAGCUAGCGGGACACGAGGGACGUGCUAUCGCAGAGUCACUCCCAGGUGGACCUCAUGCUUCAGACUUGUUUGUCAGUGUCCCCAGAGCUGGGAGGGGACAUAAGGCAAGAGACUCCAGUUUUAUUGCACUUUUCUGUCGUUAAAUUGCCCAAGUUGUCCCGGAGCAACUCCUCAUCGCUUUGCUAUUUUGAGAACUAGAUAAAUCCUGCUUCCACAAUCCUCUUUUUGUAUGUAAAUCUCAGCGUGUCUCUUUUUGCUUUCUAAAGAUUGCCCUCCGUUUUGUUACAAAAAUAAAACAUAUUCCUUUUUUCUGGUCCCAGUGAGAAUAGUGAACGGCAGAAAGGUAUACCAUAGAUUAUAGGCACGGGGCAUUGACUUUCACAGCGGACAGAAGGUUCCCCAUGAUGAACACAAAGCUCACUGCAGAGGGUCAGAAAGCAGACAGGUGGGGUCAUGGCGGUGCUCCUUGGGUAGAGGAAGAAAAUGUUUGUGAUUUUGCUCUUUCCACAAGGAGGGCAAAUACUAACAGUCUGUGAUUUACUGGGAAAGUGAACGCUUGCAUGAGUUAGAUUCAGUAUUAUUACUUUGGCUUUUUCUCAGUUUUGUCUUUGCCAAGAGAGCAGUCAGCCCCCAGGUCUACAGGACUCGUGUUCUGCACAAAUGAUGCCAUAUUGCCUAACACCUGGAGGGCAGCCCAUGGUGUUGUAACUGAAAAUUUGCAAAACACUGUAAUUCUCUCUCCUACAGCCUAACUCCACACAGGGCAUCUUGAUUUUAAUGUUAGCUGGCUGAUGACAGCUGCCACGCUCUGUAGCUAAGCCCUCACGCACAACUACCCGAGCCUGCCUGCCUUCCUUAUAGUUUAACAAACCAAUGGAUUCAGGUUUAAACAUUUUGCAAAGGAGAUAUACGCCGACAGUUUCUAAUGGACCGUGUGUCACUCUUGUUAAUUGCAACAUCUCUUGUUUCUCUACUUGUUUUCACGCUCACCAGCAUUAGCUUCUGAAUUCUUAGCCUUUGUUUGCAGCUAUUGCUAUAUCUUUCCUAAGACGUGGCACCCAAAACUGAAUGUGGUCCUCCAAAUGCAAAUGCUCCAUUGUUCAGUAUUCUUUCAUUACAUUAUCUUCUGCAUUAUUUUUAUAUCCUCUUAUUAAUGCACCCACACACCCCAUUUGCAUUUUUUAACCUUUUUAAAAACGUUUUCAUUACAACAAUCAGAUAUAAAGGCGAUGAAGUAAGUGUGGAUUAACAGAAGUGACAAGCUUGAUUCUCCCCAGACUUAUCUUGAACUUCAUCGUGCCACUGAGUCUGAUUUACGGCAGGAGGAAGCAGGGGGGAUUGACCCCAGCACAUCUACACUUUGUGUAGAUGCUUGGGGAGGAAGGGUGAGGGCAGUGGGGACUGGGAGGUGGCCAGAGACACAGCCACCCUAUAACCCAGGUGCUGCUGCUAUAAAGCACGGAACGUUGCCACCAUAGCAUGUGCUGCGAGCCUCUCUACGGAGAAAUGGACAACCAGUUUUAAGCUAGAGCCAAGCAAAGUGGUGUGUAUGAAACAAACAUGCUUUAUGGGUUGUCUGACUGCAGAAGCAGCAUGUGACUCAGAACACCACUUGAGCAACACAGCCGCUAGCCAGGGAGCAGGAAAAAAGGUGAAAUCCACAAAGCAAUUGUUCUUGUCUUGCUUUCUGGCACUGUCUUAGCAGCCUUCCCAAUGUCUUUCCUUCUUUCUUAAUUGUGUCUGUUUUACUUGACUGGAUGUUCUCCAGGACUCGCUGUUAGAAGUUAUUAUUUCAUGGAUAUCAAUGCCUUUGUCUCUUGAGGAGUUUUCCCUUGUGAUGACUAUUGUUUGACUCCAGAUACAACAAAAUACAAAUGCCCUCAGGCUCCUUUUGUGUCCCUCAGUUAAGGCAAUACUUUGCUUGCCCAGCUAAGGUGAGGUUCAUAAAUAUGGGGUGUGGUUUUAUGACGUAGCUAAUUUGCUCUAAUGGCUAGCUGCCAGUCACAGAGGUGAGUCUGCUCCUUGUGUCAACAGCUUCAUGCUCCUGCUCCCUCCCCUGCUGCUUGUCUGACUUCUGCUGACGCAGUCCAGGACAGUGACCCAGCAGAAAACUGUUCACAUUUUUUUUUCUUUUUUUUUUUUUUUUCCCCUAGAUUAGUUUUCUGCCAGACUGACAUCCUCUGAUGGCUUGCCAAAGCAAGAUGAGCAUCAGCAUUGGCACAAGAAAGGAGACAGGGUUGCUCAAGAGAGAGGGAAGAUGGUAACACAAAAGAAUUUAAUUAAGUUGGUUGGUUGUAAAUCCACACCCUUGCAACUGUGUGUUUGGCUUGCACAGAUCAAAAUCACAAUUGCUAUCAAAGACAAGAAGCAUUAAUGGCAGCAAUGGAAACAGUAGAGAAGAGAGUAAAGCAAGGAGAAACAACAAGGAAAAGGAAAGGCAAGGCCAUCUCUAACAACAGCAGCAGUACCACAUUACACCAGCAGCACAAGGUAAAUCAUGAAAGCAUUUGCUUGGCUGUUCCCAGCAGUAGAAGCUGCAGGUGCUGCCUUUAAGCUAGGCAGGCCACACCUGGGAGAAUCAGUGGCCUUAUUCUCUUCUCCCUCAGCCUCCCACCACGUGCUGGGACCCCAGGUUCAUACUCCCUCCUACUCAACCCUGCUCAUUGCUUCAUUGACUGCAGCUGCUGGGGUGAAGGUUGGCACUGGUAACACCUCCACAGAAGCUCUGGGGAGUGCAUCUGCAUACGCCAGCAUGUUGGUCCUGUACUACGGCCUGGAGAUUCCUGUGUUGACCUCUUUCUUCAUCUCAAAACAGCGUACUGAUGGAUGGGAGUGGGUAAAGCUGCCAGAGGAAUGCAUUAUGUUGACACAGCGAUUUCACCUGCUGUUAUAUCCAUUUUCUGACUUCUUUCAGCAAACUUUCAUGGUGCUCAGGAGCUCUAUGAGAGGACGCACUGCAAGUCUGUAUGCAGGGAUUGAAGGAAUUUUACCCUCCUCAGCAUGAGGGGACGAGAAGACCAGGAUAUGACAGCAUGCUGAAUGGUGUAACUAUCAGCAACAACACAGUCCUGUCAAUCCGUGCAGGUAGAAACAUGUUAAUUACUAUGAACGCUUAAAAAUCUUUCCCUAACAUUUGUCUUGCUCACAUGGAACCUCCCCUUCUAUGCAAAGCAGGUUUGCUAUUUAAAUGUCAGCUUGUGUAUACAUGCUGGCUGCUGGCUCUUCCCGGGGGAUCCGAGACAGCUGACAUUGCUGCCAACAUAAAUAAUCUUGCAGGUUGGAGACAAGUUGGUGAGAGUGUGGUGAUCCUCCCUUUUCUUGUAUUCAAUAGGAGUGUUUU